UUGACUUCAGUCGGUCUGUGCGGUUAAUUUAUUAACUGCAUGUGGAUGACAGUUGUGGGAAAGACAACUGUAAACUCCAGGACUUGAAGCUUACCUCUGCUUGAAUAAUUCAGCUCAUGAAAUGGCUGUUAAGCUUUACAGCCUCCUGGCUUUGAGCCCUUUGGAGUUUCUAACCUGCUCCACAAUUACGAUUUUGGGCACUAUUGUUAACUUCACUUAAUCUUCAGUAAACUGCAUGUGAGGAAGAGAUAAGUGAUGUAGUGACUAGAAACAGUGGGUAAAAGGAAGAGGAAAGACGAGGUGGGUGAGACCAGGUUACAGAGCUGAGAAAUGGAUUUAAAGAAAAGUAUGUCACGGACAACAAAACUGUGUGAUUGGAGUGAUAAAACUUCACAUCCUACCAUAUCUCCUGGCUUCUGUGUGCAGCUUCUCUGGGUACUGGUGUCAGGGUGGACAAAGCACAGGAAGAAAGUAACAAAGACCUUUCAUUUGAAUUAACAUUUCCAUCAGUGGAUCCAUUGCAACAGAUACUGUUCAGCUGAGGAAAUUGCAAACUACAGUUCUGGGACCUUAACCCCGACCAAACUUUCAUUCUGGUGUAAGUGUAUUAUAUGGUGACACUGUCUGUUUUAUUUCAGUCAGUUGGAUGAAGAAGCUCUACUGUCUCUACCCAGAGACUCUGCUGUUACCCAAGCUCCUGUUUGGAAUAUGCUUUAAUGUAACCUUAAUGGCAGUAAAAUUCUGCACUGGAAAGUGAUUGAUCUGGAUUGAUUACUGCUGAAAGGGUCUCUCUUAUGGACUUGAGAAGUCAGUGUUUGCCGGAUGAUUAAUGAAAUCAGACAAAGGGUUGGACUGUGUCUGGCCCUGGAGGAGUGACAUCCAGCAAGCAGGUCUGAAGAGGCUGUAGUUCCAGUCCAUCUCCCGAAUAGUCCAAGCACCUGUGUGAGGCUAGCCACUGGUGCUCACUGCUUCCAGAAUGAAGUACGUCACAACCCAUGGUGACUUACAAAUGUUGAAACUUCUAUAGAGCAAACCAGAAUGUUUUGUUUGUACCUUGUCCAGUCUGAGGGACUGCUUUCUUCUGUGGAUGUGAGGGCUAGAAACCUAAAAACCAAGAUGAACUUGGUGGUAGAAGCUGUUUCCUAUGUAAUUGUAGCUCUAAAAUUUCUCAGGAAAGAGAAAUGAUAGUGGGAGUUGACAAGGAUGUGUGCUACAGGCUGAAAGAGGAAGGAGGAGUAGUGCCCUCCUUGAUCAUGUUGUGCAAUUUUUAUGUCACUAAAUUUUGUACAAACAAUUAGCAUUUAUAUGUUGUUAAGUUAUUGUCAUGUGCAUAAACAUUGAAAGUAUAAAAUCUCCAUUCUCCUUUUCCAGUAUUUACAAAUUUACUUUGUAAAGAUAUGAUUCAUUUUGGAACAGGCUUUCAUAAUAUAACUGCAAAGAGAUAAUCACAGAAAAAAGAAGUUAAAGCUGUUUAAGUGGUAAAAGAUCUGCAUUCUUAUUUCCCCAAUUAUGACAUAAUUUACAAGAUCAUGUAAAAUCCUGCUCCAGUGGUCACUUCUGGAGAGAGGCAAGGAUAUUUUAGUGACUGUGGAUAGCUGUAAUAGCAGAAUUGGGUCUUAUCUGUGGUGUUCAUAAUGUUACUAAAUAUUAACAAGCAAACUCUUGGAUUAAAAAGAAAAAUUCUAAAACCAUAUGUGUUGUUUAAAAAAUAGAAUGUUGAACCUGAA
This is a long non-coding RNA of Strigops habroptila (Kakapo), 1727 nucleotides long. RefSeq lists it as uncharacterized. The transcript is spliced from 2 exons. Lineage: Eukaryota; Metazoa; Chordata; Aves; Psittaciformes; Psittacidae. The record is from RefSeq and is a predicted model, not a curated record.